CUAUGUGUUGAAGUUAUUUAGCCACAACAUUGGACCACCUUCUUUAGAUUCAUUUUGGAGAGAUUGGUCAAAAAUGUGGAGCUUGACUUUUUUUUCUUGUACCUUCGUUUGAAGGUCAUCUAUCAGCACACAGCUCUCUUGUUCUUCCUUCCCAACUUGCUUGAACAUUUUCUCACUUGUCUCUCAUGUUUUGCUUGUGCAGGUUUAGUUCGCUUGGUGAAGGAAGUAAGCUUCAAAGAUACAGAGUGUGGCUUAAGCAUGUCUUUGUGGAAAUCGUGGCUGCUGUAGUCAAAAGUUGUGGAUCUUGUUUCCCAACACAGCUUUGUCAAAGAUAUUGAGAUCGUUUUGACUCUUGAUUAAUCAUCUCACCAUGUUUCUGUUCAUGAAGGCACUGAUGAAAAAUCAAAACAUUCUUCCGAUUUGUCUUUUCGAUUGCAAAUGUUCUCACAGCCUACACUAUGAUGCCGAAAUGAUGCAAGCAAUCUUUAAGCUUAAAGUCGUAUAAACAUAUCGACAGUGUUUCGUCAAUCAUUUGAGAUGG
RNAcentral lists this long non-coding RNA (541 nucleotides) under Musa acuminata (dwarf banana). RNAcentral's name for it is "long non-coding RNA (MACU_LNC002244)". Lineage: Eukaryota; Viridiplantae; Streptophyta; Magnoliopsida; Zingiberales; Musaceae. The record is from RNAcentral.